Molecule: long non-coding RNA, 1908 nt
Organism: Sapajus apella (tufted capuchin)
Lineage: Eukaryota; Metazoa; Chordata; Mammalia; Primates; Cebidae
Exons: 5
Source: RefSeq, a predicted model, not a curated record
CUCCGCCUCCCAAAGUGCUGGGAUUACAGGCAUGAGCUACCACGCCUAGCACUUUUUAGUUUUUAUUUGCUUUAGGUUAUAACUAAAUAACUGAAACUUGGAACUAGACUCAGAAUGUAUCUUAGUUCAUCUGAAGGACAUGGGGCCCACUGGGAUGCUUCUCACUAUUUCACUAUUUUUUGGUCCUUGCCCACUUUUUCCUUGAAAUGAUUCAUUUUGUGUAUUUUAUGAUAGCUCAAGACAUCAGGUAGCUAGUCACAACCAGCAGCAAAUGCACUGGCUGAAAUCGCCUUCCUUGCUCUGGAAUGUCUGCCCUUGAAUGCAAAUUAAUUUACUUCUGGAUCCCUGACGGUGUGAUCGUAUGACUGUGAAUUCAUCUGUAGAAUGGUAAGGUCAGCAUGCCUUUUUUCUCCUGUCUCCAGUAGCAGACUGCAAAAUGACCAGAAAGGGGAGGGCUACUUAGCAUCAAGUUUUUCCACACUAGUAAUGGAGAGAUGCUAUGGUUUGGAUGCAGCUAGUUGUCCCCACUAAAACUCAAGUUGAUAUUUGAUCCCCAGUGUGGCAGUGUUGGAGGUCAGACCUAGUGGGAGGUAUUAGGAUAAUGACAAGGGAUCCUUCAUGAAUGGCAUGGUGCUAUUCUCCUGGUAGUACAUGAGUUCUCUCUGUUGCUAGACUGGAUUACUUCUCAUGGAUAUGGAUUCGUUCCCAUGGAGUGGGUUAUAAUAAAGAUAGGAUGCUCCUCAAGUUUUUCUCCCUCUUCACACAUGUCCACUUCCUUUUGAUCUCCUCUGCCAUAUUGUGAUAUAGCACAAAAGCCCUUGCUGGAAGCCCAGGGCCAUGCCCUUGAACUUCUCAGCCUGCAGAACUGUGAGCUAAACAAACCUCUUUUCUUUAUAAAUUACCCAGUCUCCAGUAUUCUUUUAUACCAAUGCAAAACAGACUAAGGGCAGAAGCAUAAAGAGAGAAAGAGAGAGGCCAUCCCUCCCCCCUGUUUCUCUGGAUUAUCUUACUUGCUGGCCAAGGGUUUGUCAUUUCUACACCUGUGGCAAACAAUAAUGAUACAUGGAAAGACCCUGUAGAUAUUGUCCUAAUAGAGUUCAUGCUAGAGCCUUAAACAUGACUCAUAUGGGUAUUGAAUGGAUGAGUGGAUCAAUCAAUUAAUUCUUCAAGUAUGUUUAUGACUGGGGCUGAUACUGAGCUCAUAGGUGCUAAUGUGGAGUAAGGGCCAGAGUCCAUUCCCAUUGAGUAGGCCACCCACCACUCUGCUGGGCUGGCACCCACACUGUACCAGUCAUUACAGAUGGCAUCUAGAAUGUGAGAAUGUGGCUCCAUGUUGCAAGCUGGAAAACAAUGUUUAAAACACAACCUGAUAGGGCUUACUCAUAGGACUGGUUAGAGGGUGAUAAAUGGAACCUAAUUGUCUAGGAAUCUUGAAGGAGUAGCAGUCUCAGCUUCAACGAGAUGGAUCUUGGAGCAGGAAUAAGAAUGUAAAUUCCCCAUCUCUGAGCUUCUCCCUGGGGCCUACAAAAUGCAUCUUGCUGGAGUCCUGGGAGAGCACUGAAUAAAUAUAAAGCGAUAAUGAGAAGGCUCUGGGCCACCUGGGAGAUGCAUUGGUUUCCGAACCCAGAGAGCCAGGAUUACCUGUGGAAGCAGCUCACAGGCUGGAUGACUUUUGGCUCCAAGCACUGAAGCAUCAGUUAACAACAGUUCUUCCCAAAGAAAGGAAAAUGGCAGAUGGCAUCUUUGGCAGGAUUCUAACAGAAUCCAUAGACACUCUGGACUCAUUCUCUGGGACUCAGCACUUAGUACCAGAAUGAACCCGUUGUGUUUGGACUGACUCUGGAGGAACCACUGAGUAUACAGGAUGGAGUCUCACUCUGUUGCCCAGGCUGGAGUACAAUGAUGUGA